GUUUUUAUAAUUUAAUACAAAAUAUUGGUCUUGUAAACCAAUAAUGGACUUGCACAUCCUAAAAACA
This 67-nucleotide transfer RNA is filed under the name Petrobiellus sp. 2 JZ-2014. RNAcentral describes it as "tRNA-Thr". It matches the Rfam family "tRNA". From Rfam's summary of the family: Transfer RNA (tRNA) molecules are approximately 80 nucleotides in length. Lineage: Eukaryota; Metazoa; Arthropoda; Insecta; Archaeognatha; Machilidae. The record is from RNAcentral.